GGAUAUCUAGUCAGGCUGUCCACAUUAUCCAUUUAUCAAUUCACAUAACCUUUUUGCCAUUUUCCUUGGUCUCAAUCAUCCAAUCAUACACAAACAUGUAAACCAGUAAUUGACACCAAACAAGACAAUACAAUAUCGGGUUCACCAUAAUACAAACCAUAAUAAAAGAAACCAUAAUUCAUGCAUACGAGACCAUAAAAUAAUUACAUCAAACAUCAUACUGCAUUUAAUACUGAAAA
This 239-nucleotide long non-coding RNA is filed under the name Carica papaya (papaya). RNAcentral describes it as "long non-coding RNA (CPAP_LNC008556)". Lineage: Eukaryota; Viridiplantae; Streptophyta; Magnoliopsida; Brassicales; Caricaceae. The record is from RNAcentral.